AUGUCGAGAGCCCUCGCGCGGCGCGCGGCCCCCCCAUUCCUGAGGCUGCGCUCCACGGCGGGCUACGACGGACAAUGGAUCGGCCGGCUGGACCACAAGGACUGGCUCGCCCCGAACGAGGUCCUCAAGAUCUUCGCGAGCAUCAGGGACGCCGCUCUGAUAACCAGCGUGUUCAAGAAAGCCUGCGCCCGGCGCGACUACAAGCCCAGCGAGGCCCUCUACGGCCUGAUGAUCGACCGGCUCGCCGGCGCCAGGCGGUUCGGCGACGUGGAGGAGCUGCUGGCCCGGGCGAGGGCCGAGCGGUUCCGGUUCUCCGACGAGUUCUUCUACAGGCUCAUCAAGAUGUACGGCAAUGUGGCCAACCACCCCGAGAAGGCCAUGGAGACGCUCUGCGCGAUGCCCGAGUACGGCUGCUGGCCCUCCACCAAGACCUUCAACUAUGUGCUCCACAUGCUCGUCUGCAGGCGGCAGUACGAGGUUGUUCAUGAGGUGUACGCCAGCGCGCCCAGGCUGGGCGUGGAGCUCGACACCCGCUGCUUCAACAUCCUUAUCAGGGGGCUGUGCCAAUUUGGGAGAUUCAAUGAGGCCCUUUCGCUGCUGGAUGAGAUGCCGAAGCAGGAGUGCCGGCCUAAUGCGACGACCUACUCGACGCUGAUGCAUUUCCUCUGCCGGAACUGUCGAGUGGAUGAGGCAUUUCAGCUGUUUGAGAGAAUGCGCAAGGAGGAAAUUGAUGCGGAUACGGUUGUUUACAAUAUAUUGGUAUCUGGUCUCUGCAGAGAGGGAAGGGUGACCUCUGCAUAUGAUCUGUUCAAGUCGAUGUCGUCUGAGGGCUGCCAUCCUAAUUCAGGGACUUAUCAGGUACUGCUUGAUGGCCUCGUGGCGUCAAAGAAGUUUGUGGAGGCGAAGGACCUAGUUACUAUGAUGAGUGCUGAAGGUCUGAGGCCUAGUUUCUCAUCGUACAAGCUGCUAAUUGAUGGACUCUGUAGUUUUAACUGCUUAGAUGAUGCACAUCUUGUCUUGAAGCAAAUGGUGGACCAAGGUUUUGUUCCUAGGAUGGGUACUUGGACAAAACUUCUUACAUCCUUAUGCUGA
This 1092-nucleotide ribosomal RNA is filed under the name Triticum aestivum (bread wheat). RNAcentral describes it as "partial small subunit ribosomal RNA". The record is from RNAcentral. Lineage: Eukaryota; Viridiplantae; Streptophyta; Magnoliopsida; Poales; Poaceae.